Molecule: small nucleolar RNA, 107 nt
Organism: Humulus lupulus (European hop)
Lineage: Eukaryota; Viridiplantae; Streptophyta; Magnoliopsida; Rosales; Cannabaceae
Source: RefSeq, a predicted model, not a curated record
AUGCCAUGGUGAUGGCAUUUACGCAACAACUCAUUAAACUACUCCCAUGCCUCAUAUAAAGAUUCUUCAUCAAGUUGUUGAAAUAAAGUAAUCUCAUUGCAGAGCUU